RNAcentral lists this ribosomal RNA (230 nucleotides) under uncultured Actinomycetales bacterium. RNAcentral's name for it is "partial 16S ribosomal RNA". It matches the Rfam family "Bacterial small subunit ribosomal RNA", at positions 101 to 334 of the family's 1533-position model. The record is from RNAcentral. Lineage: Bacteria; Bacillati; Actinomycetota; Actinomycetes; Actinomycetales.
AACGGGUGAGUAACACGUGGGUGAUCUGCCCUGCACUUCGGGAUAAGCUUGGGAAACUGGGUCUAAUACCGGAUAGGACCAUCGUUUAGUGUCGGUGGUGGAAAGUUUUUUCGGUGUGGGAUGAGCUCGCGGCCUAUCAGCUUGUUGGUGGGGUAAUGGCCUACCAAGGCGUCGACGGGUAGCCGGCCUGAGAGGGUGUACGGCCACAUUGGGACUGAGAUACGGCCCAG